Molecule: ribosomal RNA, 460 nt
Filed under: uncultured bacterium
Lineage: Bacteria
Description: partial 16S ribosomal RNA
Rfam family: Bacterial small subunit ribosomal RNA
Source: RNAcentral
CCUACGGGUGGCAGCAGUGAGGAAUAUUGGUCAAUGGGCGUAAGCCUGAACCAGCCAAGUCGCGUGAGGGAUGAAGGUUCUAUGGAUCGUAAACCUCUUUUAUAAGGGAAUAAAGUGCGGGACGUGUCCCGUUUUGUAUGUACCUUAUGAAUAAGGAUCGGCUAACGCCGUGCCAGCAGCCGCGGUAAUACGGAGGAUCCGUGCGUUAUCCGGAUUUAUUGGUUUUAAAGGGUGCGUAGGCGGCCUUUUAAGUCAGCGGGGAAAGUCUGUGGCUCAACCAUAGAAUUGCCGUUGAAACUGGGAGGCUUGAGUAUGUUUGAGGCAGGCGGAAGGCGUGGUGUAGCGGUGAAAUGCUUAGAUAUCACGCAGAACCCCGAUUGCGAAGGCAGCCUGCCAAGCCAUGACUGACGCUGAUGCACGAAAGCGUGGGGAUCAAACAGGAUUAGAUACCCUUGUAGUC